RNAcentral lists this long non-coding RNA (782 nucleotides) under Vigna radiata. Its description in RNAcentral is "long non-coding RNA (VRAD_LNC004301)". The record is from RNAcentral. Lineage: Eukaryota; Viridiplantae; Streptophyta; Magnoliopsida; Fabales; Fabaceae.
CCAUGGUGAAAGACCACUUCGACAUCACAAUUAGCCAUCUCAACUAAUAUAAAAAAUCAACAUUACAUUUACAGUCAGCAAUACUUAGUACUAUAAACACACCAUAAACACACCAUAAACACAUCCUAAAGUGACUAAGAAAUUACACUUCCACAAAGCACUUUAAACACACCAUAAACAAUUAAAAUAGUUUUGUACUGAACCCUAAAAAUUGGGGGACAACACAGAACACUUUAACCUGCACAAUGGGGGACCACAGCANAACACCCAUAAUGGGGGACAACAACCAAACAUAAAUAAUACAUAAUGGGGGACAACCAAACAGAAAUCAAAGUUUGUGGGGGACCANAACAAAAGCAAACACACACACACGAAGCAAACAAGCACACCAAAGCAACCAAAUGAAACCAAUGUUACACUCACCUUCGAAUGGACCUUGGAAUAGAACCCACUUCGCACUUCCAAAUACACCACGAACAAUGCCAAUAGCACUUCCAAAUCACCAAACGCGCAUUUGCUUUCGAAAGCCCAAAUGCGAUUUUUCACUCUUCGUCAAUAGCGAUUUCGAAAGUCCUAAUUACACUCUUCGUCAACUCACAUUCUGUCCUCUAUCUCAAGUGCGAUUUCGAAAGCCCUAAUUUCACUCUUCAUCAACUCUCACAGAACCCCUAAUUUAAUUUUGUUCUGUGAGUUAAAAACCCCAAAAUCAUUUAUUAAUUAAAUUUCCCCAAUUGUAUCUAAAUAAUUGACAUGGCCGACACGUUGCAAUUCUCUGCUGCCAA